Molecule: long non-coding RNA, 2109 nt
Organism: Papaver somniferum (opium poppy)
Lineage: Eukaryota; Viridiplantae; Streptophyta; Magnoliopsida; Ranunculales; Papaveraceae
Exons: 5
Source: RefSeq, a predicted model, not a curated record
GUGAGUUUUGGGAGGAAAUUUAGGGUUUUUUGAAAUGAGUGAUUAUAGUGGAGGAAAUGAUGUAGGUGAAGAUUCGAACAACAUACAUGAUUGUGUUGAUGGUAAGGUUGUCUCAAUUAAUCAUAUGGAUUGAUGUUUGACGAAGAUAUCUUACUAUAAUAAAGAAAAGGGAUAUUUUUGGUGGCCAUGUGCACCUGAAAAGACAAAACUAGCCCUCCGUGUUUUUAACUCAGCAACGCCUCCUCCCGUCGUCAUCAAUCGAACCUCUAUAUCCUUCGUUCACCACUAACAUCAGCACCGUAUCGUCUACCACCCCCGACUCUCACACCACGAUCCUACACCACCAACUCCAUUAACACCACCGUAAACACCACCACCCCCAACUCCUCAACACGUCAUACACAGACACCGCGAUUCACUACCGCCACUACACCAUCAACACCACCGUUACCAGCUAAAUUAUCACCACGACACAGCCAUACUGCAGUGGAAGAUGAGCAGGGUUAACUACAUUGAGCACAUUUUGGUACCUUUUUGUUUAUCCACUCUCAAUUUUGGCUAACCAUACAACUAAAGUUCAGGUAUUGGUCCAGGUUUACUUAAUUCUGCGGAUUCUUGUAAAAUUCUGCAACUGUGUUUCCUCUUAUUGGGAUGGAUAGGUCAGGUAAUGAUAUAUAUAUGCCAUUAUUGAAGAGACUAUAACCAAGAUAUCACUAGGUAUAUAUCUUUCAACAUAUGUGUAUUAUGAUACCCACUAUUUACGUGCCAAACUUUUAUGCGAGCAAUAGCAAGAAACAAAGUAGUUAUCGAUAAACAGAUGCUUAUUAGUCUAAUGUUUUUUUUUUUUUUUUGGCUUAGCUGUUUAAUGGGUCUGCCAUUUCUCUUAGGUACCUAAUCAGUAAUCACUGGUGUGCAUAUGCUUAUUAGUUAACAUUUGAACUUCGAACUACUGUUUCUUGCAUGUAUAUUUUGUGUCUGGGUUGCGCCGUGCGUGGUUGAUCCCUCUUUUCUUUAUUAUAGUAAGAUUUAAGUAUCUUUAUUUGAUUGUGGAUUUGUCUCCUUCGAUAUUAUACAUUUCAGUAUCUUUAUUUACUUGGUAGAUUUUAUUGGCAGCAUGUAGCUUCCUUCGAUAGAUCAAGUGCAGGAGUUUGACUCAAAGAUUAGUUGUUUAAUGAAGAACACACUAACUCAUCUCCGUCGAAGUCCUAUACUAAUCGAGUUAGAAAGACAAAGGCAUGCUCAACUACAGGUCCACCGAGUUUUGACCAAACAAAAACGUAAUGAUGUGACUGAAAAUGAAAAGGAAGUACACACAAUGAUCAUAAUUCAAUGACUGAAAUUGAGAAGGAAGCAAAUCUACAAAGACGUCGAAAUGCUUAUAUGCAGAAAACAAGAGGUGGUGACGAAACGACAAGUCGGCAGUUGCAUCGCACGUGCGUCUUUGCUAGUGGUAAUAGAGGAAGCCUUGAAUAAUGGUGUAAAUGAAGAUAAAUCUUAUUGCUCAAAAUGAAGGAACCAAUACUCAAAAUGAAGAACUCGAAACUCAAAACAAUCAGAUUCUCACUUACUGCAAUUUGGAGGUUAUACUCUUUUAAAGAACGCAAAUGGACCCAUUUGAAAGCUUUGGGGUUUGACACACAGCCAGUACUCAUUGGGCUCAUCCUCUUUCAGGCGGAUGCAUUUGCAAAGAAGCUUGCGUUAUGCGCAGGCACUCCGAGGGGAUCUUUUUAAGCUGCAGGAAGAAAAUCUACCGGCAAUGAACACAGAUCCAUGGUAUUCUUCCUACCGGUACUCGCAUUCCCCACGUUUUGAGAGUUGGUAGCGUUGGAUGAGACGAUAAGAAAAAGAAAUGACCAGAAGGACAAGAGAGCUUUCUAGCACCUUAGUAAGACAGCUUGAGUAAUCUUACUUCACCAGAUUUAAUUUGUUUUGUUUCCUCCCUCUUACUCACAUGGGAAGUGUAACUAUCAAAUACAGAAUUUGCACAAGUAGUAUAACGGUUUACUUUUGUAUAAGUAGAAGGAAUUUAGUAUCACUAGCAGCAGUGUAAGAAAUGCUAGCUAGCUUUAAUUCAAUUAUAGUUUGUUGUUUUAGCAAUUUAGACAUGGU